AAUCAACGCUGGCGGCGUGCCUCAGACAUGCAAGUCGAACGAUUAAAGCUCUCUUCGGAGAGUGCAUAGAGUGGCGCACGGGUGAGUAACACGUAAGUAAUCUACCCUCGAGUGGGGAAUAACGUCCGGAAACGGACGCUAAUACCGCAUAAUGCAGCGGCACCGCAAGGUGACAGUUGUUAAAGAUUUAUCGCUUGAGGAGGAGCUUGCGGCAGAUUAGCUAGUUGGUAAGGUAAUGGCUUACCAAGGCUACGAUCUGUAACCGGUCUUAGAGGACGGUCGGUCACACUGACACUGAAUAACGGGUCAGACUCCUACGGGAGGGCAGCAGUCGGGAAUUUUGGGUCGAAUGGGCGAAAGCCUGACCCAGCAACGCCGCGUGAAGGAUGAAGUAUUUCGGUAUGUAAACUUCGAAAGAAUAGGAAGAAUAAAUGACGGUACUAUUUAUAAGGUCCGGCUAACUACGUG
RNAcentral lists this ribosomal RNA (468 nucleotides) under uncultured bacterium. RNAcentral's name for it is "bacterial SSU rRNA". It matches the Rfam family "Bacterial small subunit ribosomal RNA", at positions 32 to 507 of the family's 1533-position model. The record is from RNAcentral.